GGUUAAGUGACUAAGCGUACACGGUGGAUGCCUAGGCAGUCAGAGGCGAUGAAGGACGUGCUAAUCUGCGAAAAGCGCCGGUGAGCUGAUAUGAAGCGUUAUCAGCCGGCGAUGUCCGAAUGGGGAAACCCGGUGCAACUCGUUGCAUCAUCGUUAAGUGAAUCCAUAGCUUAACGAAGCGAACCAGGGGAACUGAAACAUCUCAGUACCCUGAGGAAAAGAAAUCAACCGAGAUUCCCCCAGUAGCGGCGAGCGAACGGGGAACAGCCCAGAGCCAUCAUCAGCUUGCGCAUCAGGAGAACGGUCUGGAAAGUCCGGCGACAGAGGGUGAUAGCCCCGUAUCCGAAGGUGUGCUUGUUGUGAGCUCGAUGAGUAGGGCGGGACACGUGAUAUCCUGUCUGAAGAUGGGGGGACCAUCCUCCAAGGCUAAAUACUCCUGACUGACCGAUAGUGAACCAGUACCGUGAGGGAAAGGCGAAAAGAACCCCGGCGAGGGGAGUGAAAUAGAACCUGAAACCGUGUACGUACAAGCAGUGGGAGCAUCCUUCGGGGUGUGACUGCGUACCUUUUGUAUAAUGGGUCAGCGACUUAUAUUCUGUAGCAAGGUUAACCGCAUAGGGGAGCCGCAGGGAAACCGAGUCUUAACUGGGCGUCUAGUUGCAGGGUAUAGACCCGAAACCCGGUGAUCUAGCCAUGGGCAGGUUGAAGGUUGGGUAACACUAACUGGAGGACCGAACCGACUAAUGUUGAAAAAUUAGCGGAUGACUUGUGGCUGGGGGUGAAAGGCCAAUCAAACCGGGAGAUAGCUGGUUCUCCCCGAAAGCUAUUUAGGUAGCGCCUCGUGACGUCAUCUACGGGGGUAGAGCACUGUUUCGGCUAGGGGUCCAUCCCGGAUUACCAACCCGAUGCAAACUGCGAAUACCGUAGAAUGUAAUCACGGGAGACACACGGCGGGUGCUAACGUCCGUCGUGAAGAGGGAAACAACCCAGACCGCCAGCUAAGGUCCCAAAGUCAUGGUUAAGUGGGAAACGAUGUGGGAAGGCCCAGACAGCCAGGAUGUUGGCUUAGAAGCAGCCAUCAUUUAAAGAAAGCGUAAUAGCUCACUGGUCGAGUCGGCCUGCGCGGAAGAUGUAACGGGGCUAAACCAUGCACCGAAGCUGCGGCAGCGACACGUAAGUGUUGUUGGGUAGGGGAGCGUUCUGUAAGCCUGCGAAGGUGGCCUGUGAGGGCUGCUGGAGGUAUCAGAAGUGCGAAUGCUGACAUAAGUAACGAUAAAGCGGGUGAAAAGCCCGCUCGCCGGAAGACCAAGGGUUCCUGUUCAACGUUAAUCGGAGCAGGGUGAGUCGACCCCUAAGGCGAGGCCGAAAGGCGUAGUCGAUGGGAAACAGGUUAAUAUUCCUGUACUGGGUGUGACUGCGAAGGGGGACGGAGAAAGCUAGGUUCGCCGGGCGACGGUUGUCCCGGUUCAAGCGUGAAGGUGGAAUGAGCAGGCAAAUCCGCUCAUUCUCAACACUGAGGCGUGAUGACGAGCCACUACGGUGGUGAAGGAAUUGAUGCUACGCUUCCAGGAAAAGCCUCUAAGCUCCAGGUCACAUCGAAUCGUACCCCAAACCGACACAGGUGGUCAGGUAGAGAAUACCCAGGCGCUUGAGAGAACUCGGGUGAAGGAACUAGGCAAAAUGGUGCCGUAACUUCGGGAGAAGGCACGCUGGCAUGUAGGUGGAGGGCCUUGCGCCCCGAGCUGAAGCCAGUCGCAGAUACCAGCUGGCUGCAACUGUUUAUUAAAAACACAGCACUGUGCAAACACGAAAGUGGACGUAUACGGUGUGACGCCUGCCCGGUGCCGGAAGGUUAAUUGAUGGGGUUAUCGCUUGCGAGAAGCUCUUGAUCGAAGCCCCGGUAAACGGCGGCCGUAACUAUAACGGUCCUAAGGUACGAAAUUCCUUGUCGGGUAAGUUCCGACCUGCACGAAUGGCGUAAUGAUGGCCAGGCUGUCUCCACCCGAGACUCAGUGAAAUUGAACUCGCCGUGAAGAUGCGGUGUACCCGCGGCAAGACGGAAAGACCCCGUGAACCUUUACUAUAGCUUGACACUGCAUUGAGCCUUGAUGUGUAGGAUAGGUGGGAGGCUUUGAAGUGUGGACGCCAGUCUGCAUGGAGCCAACCUUGAAAUACCACCCUUUAAUGUUUGAUGUUCUCACUCAGGCCCGUUAUCCGGGCCGAGGACAGUGUCUGGUGGGUAGUUUGACUGGGGCGGUCUCCUCCCAAAGUGUAACGGAGGAGCACGAAGGUUAGCUAAUCACGGUCGGACAUCGUGAGGUUAGUGCAAAGGCAUAAGCUAGCUUGACUGCGAGAGUGACGGCUCGAGCAGGUGCGAAAGCAGGUCUUAGUGAUCCGGUGGUUCUGAAUGGAAGGGCCAUCGCUCAACGGAUAAAGUACUCCGGGGAUAACAGGCUGAUACCGCCCAAGAGUUCAUAUCGACGGCGGUGUUUGGCACCUCGAUGUCGGCUCAUCACAUCCUGGGGCUGAAGUAGGUCCCAAGGGUAUGGCUGUUCGCCAUUUAAAGUGGUACGCGAGCUGGGUUUAGAACGUCGUGAGACAGUUCGGUCCCUAUCUGCCGUGGGCGCUGGAAGAUUGAGAGGGGCUGCUCCUAGUACGAGAGGACCGGAGUGGACGCACCACUGGUGUUCGGGUUGUCAUGCCAAUGGCAUUGCCCGGUAGCUACGUGCGGAAGAGAUAACCGCUGAAAGCAUCUAAGCGGGAAACUUGCCUCGAGAUGAGUCUUCCCUGAGGCCUAGAGCCUCCUGAAGGGACGUUAAAGACGAUGACGUUGAUAGGUCGGGUGUGUAAGCGCUGCGAGGCGUUGAGCUAACCGAUACUAAUGACCCGUGAGACUUAACCUUACAACACC
This 2911-nucleotide ribosomal RNA is filed under the name Sodalis praecaptivus. RNAcentral describes it as "bacterial LSU rRNA". It matches the Rfam family "Bacterial large subunit ribosomal RNA". The record is from RNAcentral. Lineage: Bacteria; Pseudomonadati; Pseudomonadota; Gammaproteobacteria; Enterobacterales; Bruguierivoracaceae.